Molecule: long non-coding RNA, 434 nt
Organism: Talpa occidentalis (Iberian mole)
Lineage: Eukaryota; Metazoa; Chordata; Mammalia; Eulipotyphla; Talpidae
Exons: 3
Source: RefSeq, a predicted model, not a curated record
GGGGCUCCCUGGGCCUUGCAGGGGUUGUGGCUCAGGGAUGCUCUGGCUAGACCCAGCAUAUUGGAAAGCUCCCCCCCACUCCACGUCCCCCUGCCAUUAUCUGCCAUUAUCUGAGACUCAUGAGCCAGCCUAAGCAGGGAACCCCGGACUAUGAAGAAAGGCACCUUCACAUGUGCUGGGCACACCCACUUGACAGAAACACCCAAUUGAGAGGCAAAUCGAAAAAACUCACUGAACUGAGUGGAGGUGCCUAUAUCCACCUAAUCCUCAUUCUGCCACAACACUCUGUGCACUCAGGUUUUCUAAAUUCCUGCUAUGAGUGAGACCAUCUGGCUAACUGGCAUCUUCCACUUGACUAGCCAACUCUCUGACCUCCAAAUCCUACUGCUCCCCUGUCUUCCUGCACCUCACCAAAGGAUCCUGCAUGCUCACCU